GACGAACGCUGGCGGCGUGCUUAACACAUGCAAGUCGAACGGAAAGGCCCUGCUUUUGUGGGGUGCUCGAGUGGCGAACGGGUGAGUAACACGUGAGUAACCUGCCCUUGACUUUGGGAUAACUUCAGGAAACUGGGGCUAAUACCGGAUAGGAGCUCCUGCUGCAUGGUGGGGGUUGGAAAGUUUCGGCGGUUGGGGAUGGACUCGCGGCUUAUCAGCUUGUUGGUGGGGUAGUGGCUUACCAAGGCUUUGACGGGUAGCCGGCCUGAGAGGGUGACCGGCCACAUUGGGACUGAGAUACGGACCAGACUCCUACGGGAGGCAGCAGUGGGGAAUAUUGCACAAUGGGCGGAAGCCUGAUGCAGCAACGCCGCGUGCGGGAUGACGGCCUUCGGGGUGUAAACCGCUUUCGCCUGUGACGAAGCGUGAGUGACGGUAAUGGGUAAAGAAGCACCGGCUAACUACGUG
Molecule: ribosomal RNA, 468 nt
Filed under: uncultured bacterium
Lineage: Bacteria
Description: partial 16S ribosomal RNA
Rfam family: Bacterial small subunit ribosomal RNA
Source: RNAcentral